Drosophila sulfurigaster albostrigata is the source of this 938-nucleotide long non-coding RNA. RefSeq lists it as uncharacterized. The record is from RefSeq and is a predicted model, not a curated record. The transcript has 2 exons. Lineage: Eukaryota; Metazoa; Arthropoda; Insecta; Diptera; Drosophilidae.
CAAAGCUUGCUUAUUUAACUUGCUUAUUGACACAAUCUAAAAAUAUUUUUGAUUUUCAAUAUUCAUAACCUACAGCUCGAUUUGUCAUUGAAAUUUGUUUAAAUUUUUGUAACCCAGUUGCUGCAUAUUCCUAAAGUGAAAAAUAUUUCACAAACUUUAUGCCCUACAGCCAUAUGGCAGUAAAACGCUCAUACGUCAUGUUGGUUAAGCAUUGAAGCUGCUGCUGUUGUGGGCGUUUAGUUACCCGCAGCAUAAUUGCAGCAAAGCAGUCAAAAUAGAGCAGACAAGGUAUGUUAAUGAUAGCAGGCAAAAGACGAGUUUAUUUAAUUAAUUUGCCAAGGCAACAAGGAGAAAAAAGAAAGGAAAUGCAGAGACGCACAGAGAAGCAAUGGCAUUGCUUUAAGAAAAGCAGCAACAGCUUAUGAGAAGGGAAGCAGGCAAAAAAAAAGCAAGGUAAAAAAUUAUCGCACUGCGUGACUGAGACGCAGUGAAGCAGACAAAACAAACUGCGCAGACAACGAGUAACUCAACAUACUGCAGCUCAACUGGAUAAACAGACGGGUGAAGAAAGAGUGAGUGAGUGGGAGAGAGAGGGAAAGACUGCCACACAUUGUGGCAAGUAUAUCCUUUUUACGGAGCACUGUAGUCAAGUCAUUUGUCUGCCUGAAUGCGAAGCCGUCUCAUCAGUGCGCCAACAUAAAGAAGGCAAAAGGAGAUGUGUAACAAACAAACUCAAAACCCAAACCAAAAGCAAAAAAAAGGGUAAGAACGCAUAGUUAUUUAUCAUGUUAUAAGUUAUGAUGUCAGCAUGCCGGCAUUAUGUGACUGAUAAGCGCCAGAAAAUGAGCACAAACACAUUCACACACACACACUCACUCACACAUGUGAAUGUCUUGCUUAAAUAACAUAAAUGGAAUGAAAAAUCGAGGUGUGAAAAA